CCGCUGCGGGUCUUUCCCUCACUCGUCCUCCGCGCGUCGCCGCUCUUCGGUUCUGCUCUGUCCGCCGCCAUGGCCCAAGCUGACAUCGCGCUGAUCGGAUUGGCCGUCAUGGGCCAGAACUUAAUUCUGAACAUGAAUGACCACGGCUUUGUGGACUUUUGUCCUUCUAGGUCUGUGCUUUUAAUAGGACUGUCUCCAAAGUUGAUGAUUUCUUGGCCAAUGAGGCAAAGGGAACCAAAGUGGUGGGUGCCCAGUCCCUGAAAGAGAUGGUCUCCAAGCUGAAGAAGCCCCGGCGGAUCAUCCUCCUGGUGAAGGCUGGGCAAGCUGUGGAUGAUUUCAUCGAGAAAUUGGUG
This 353-nucleotide long non-coding RNA is filed under the name Pan troglodytes (chimpanzee). RNAcentral describes it as "long non-coding RNA NONPTRT000089". Lineage: Eukaryota; Metazoa; Chordata; Mammalia; Primates; Hominidae. The record is from RNAcentral.